CGGUCUGUAGCUCAGUUGGUUAGAGCAACGCUCUUAUAAGGCGUGGGUCCUGGGUUCAAGUCCCAGCAGACCGACCA
Molecule: transfer RNA, 77 nt
Filed under: bacterium
Lineage: Bacteria
Also listed under: 1 other name
Description: tRNA-Ile
Rfam family: tRNA
About the family: Transfer RNA (tRNA) molecules are approximately 80 nucleotides in length. Their secondary structure includes four short double-helical elements and three loops (D, anti-codon, and T loops). Further hydrogen bonds mediate the characteristic L-shaped molecular structure. tRNAs have two regions of fundamental functional importance: the anti-codon, which is responsible for specific mRNA codon recognition, and the 3' end, to which the tRNAs corresponding amino acid is attached (by aminoacyl-tRNA synthetases). tRNAs cope with the degeneracy of the genetic code in two manners: having more than one tRNA (with a specific anti-codon) for a particular amino acid; and 'wobble' base-pairing, i.e. permitting non-standard base-pairing at the 3rd anti-codon position.
Source: RNAcentral